CUCAACAACGCAGUGACAGAAGAAGAGAGGGCGGUCUAGGAAGUGUAACUCACUCCGUCCCCAAAACCAGCCGCACAUGGACUCUACGAAGCAGUUGGGAGCCACUGCCAGUUCUGAACAGCGGAAAGAUAUGUUCGAAGCUGCGCUUUUGGAAAAUCGGUCUGGCAGCAGCAGGGAAGAUAGACUGUCUUUUCUCGGCUCAGCAGCACCAGCUGCAAGACCUGACCACGGAGCCAGCAAGUGCAGAGCCGGGGUUAGGACCAUGUCGGUCCAACUGCUGGGCUGGGGCUCAAAUCCCAGAAGGCAGGCCGACUAAGGCUGGAUGAAGGCUUCUGGCUCCACAAGCCCCCUUUCCUCAUCAGGGGCGCCCUGGCGCGGCGUUCCUCUGCCGCCCUUCCUGUGGUUUUGAACCUUCCUAUUGGCCCAUCUCAGCAGCAAACAGUUCCUCUGAGUAGAAUGUGCUCUGAAAAGCCCAAAUCCACCACCAGCUGGAGCUGGGAGGGCUGCAAUACUUCCUGUUGAAUUGGGUCCUGGGGGCAGAAACCGCAUUGCUAUUUACACCCGAAGCUCUUUAUUUGAGGUGCUUUACAAAACACAAAAGGCUAAGUCCUCUGUCUUCGAAGCCAACAGACCACAGACGCACGGAAGGCAACAGAGAAUAAUGAGCUGCCUCCCCUCUUACACCGUCACUCCCUUUCUGCCCGAGCGGUUCCCUCUGCGGCCCCUUCUAUUUCUUUCAUUGCCUUCCUCUGAGCAGUCUUAUUACUGAAAUAGACUCCUAAUUAACACAUCAGGUUUCCCCUGUUCCAAAAAGUCUCUGAAAUUUGCCUGUUCUGUGAUGCUGUUCACUCAAAACACCCCCUGCUGUCUUUAUUUUGUUCUGCUUUUUGUCCUGGCUCGUAUCGUUUGUUUCUUUGUAUUGAAAGCUUGUCAGCUCGCGGAACCUGGCACGUAUUAAUUAGGAGGAUGGUCCGGUGCUCGACACAGCUUGAUGGAAAGCAAGUCUGAGCGGGGACUUGGGCAGAGAAUCAGAAAGAAGCUGAAGCGAACGAACGGGGAGACGGCUUAAGACCGUGACCCAGUUUUCAGACCCGGGGCGCGACCAACAGUCAGCCUUCUGGCCUGUGACUCUUCACCUCAGCUAAGCCCAUCUGCAACUUGCCCCGUAAGAGUGCACGUCGGGGGCACGUCUGUGCCUUUGCCCAGUGUGUCCCCCUCUGCCGGGACGCCCUGCCUUCUCUCUGCCACCUGAGCUUUGCUGGCGUUCAAGGCCAGAAGGAAAUUUCAUCUCCUCCGAAAAGCCUUCCACAGCUCGUCUAGUCCUAGUCAGCCACCGUCUUCGUGACACCUUGGCUGUUUUUGCAUCACCGAACCUACCCCCUCGAUCGUGUGGUCUUUUUGAUGAGAAUUGUCUCCGUGCCUCCAGUCCUCAAAGGGAAAGGGGGUUCUGCCAGACAUGGGUGGAGUAAGAAAGAAGCUUGCUAGCUGCUUCAGGUCAGACGGGUCUUCGAAGUCUUUGGAGCAGUCCCACACACAGCGCCCCCGUCCCCACCCAAGAGGGACAAGUUCAGCAGACACAGAUCCUAGAGGCGCUGGCCUCCAAGCAUCGCUCAGGGGAAUUGCCAGCCAUUGUUUGGAAACAGAGCUGCCCUGGUGAGAAGCAGCUCAAUUGUAAACCAGCUUCUGCAAUUUGGUGUCUCCCUUAGACCCUUGGGCUCAUCUCUGAAACAUCGAUUUCUUGUCCCGUCCACAGGCUUUAGUACGUGUGGUGAGCAGCGCUGGGGCUCCACCUGCCCCCCUCAAAAUCCUUUUUCCAUUCUUAGAUGCCCUGUUCUUGGCUUGUAUGUUUGCUUCCAGCAGCUGGCACCCGUGAGGGACCCUUCAGAAGACUCCACUCAGAAGUCCCCGGAAACUUACACUUUCCUUGGGCGGGGGGGGGGGGGGGGGGCGCCUUGCUCAAUGACUGACUGGUGCCCACCCUGAAAGUCCAGUUUUUGGCCCAGAGUGAGGACAAGGUCUGAGGCAUAACUUGUAUUCCACGACUCUCCCAGGGGCAGGCCAAGGCAGGGACUUGGUCUGAAUGGCUCCUGGCUUGGCUUCUUCUUGUUCUCUGUCCUGCCUGUCUGUCCUUCCCACCUCUCCCUACCCCCACACACUGAUUUGCCCUAGGGAACAGCCCCUCGCACAUGAAUACGCCUCUCCAAGUUCAUUUCUGGGCGAACUGACCUAAGAUAAUACCUAUGGUGCGUCUCUCCAUUGGCCAUUGGCAGUCAUGGCCCCUGCCUACACAUUCUACCAGCUUCCGCUUUUUUUGAGGGACGAUUGUCAUUCACUCUGAGGUAGCCCUCAAGGACCUAACUCCCAGGCAAACCCUGUGCAGGUCAGGGAGCCCUCAUUAAAGUUAGUUAUACACGUCGCCCAAUACAGUGAAAAAUCUACCCAGUCAUUCCUUGGUGAUGUGAUAACAGAUACCCAGCCAGAAACUUAUUUUUAUUUAUUCUCUUUACGAUACGACACUCAUUCUAUUUUUUUCAGGCUUUCCUCAUUUUAAAACAUUUCUAGGCAAUACACUUAAGGACAUCAAUGUACUAAAAUGUCAGUUUGUGAAAUAACAGAACCAUUAGCAUCCAAAGAAUUCUUGGAGCUUGUACAUAUUAUCCAAACAAUGACUGUGGCUUCGGGUCAUGGGCAAAGGUUUCAUUUCAUUUUAGCAUCUCAAAGCUCGCAAAGAUAGCCAAUGAAAUGUCACCAUUCAUCCGCCUAGGAAACAGUAGUAGCUUCCCCCUAAGUCACUUUGGAUGCUGCCCAGGCAGUUACUGAUAGAUUUCAUUCCUCUUUUUAUUUUGUUAAAAAGUUUAUUUAUUUAUUUUGAGAGAGAGAGAGAGAGAGAAGGGGGCGAGGCAGAGAGAGAGGGAGAGAGAGAGAGAACCCCAAGCAGCCUCCGUGCUCAGCACAGAGCCUGACGGGGGGCACAAUCCCACGAACCAUAAGAUCGUGACCUGAGCCGAGAUCAAGAGUCAGACACUUAACCGACCGAGCCACCAAGGCGCCCCUCAUUCAUCUUUUUAGACGCCACAUUCUUGAUAAUGUGACUCAGGAAUGCGGCUGCCACACUGGCCCUGCCCUAAACUCUCCUGAGAAGCUAUCUCAAGUAACGAAGCAAAGGGAAAAAAUUACUUUUCUGUCCUAGGUCACAAGUCCCUAAACUCUUCCUAACUUUAUAGUUAAACCUACCCCUAAAAUCCCACCACCAUUUCUCACCUUUGCUGCAGGUGCACACAUUCACUUCCGACGCCCUAAGCCCAAGGCCAGGUCUCGUUGUUCUUUGUUUCCCAGCCAGCGGCCAGGGUCACGCCUGUCAACUGUAGCAAUCAAGCGAGGACUGGAAGUCACAGACUACUUUGAAUCAAGCCAGGCAAAUAGGGCUUGCGCAAGACUCAACCUAUUCGUGGAUCCGGACACCUUGGCAGAGUAGAGCCUGAACGGGCAACUGUGAUGUAGUUUUCUGAAAUGUGAUUUCUCAAACUCCUUUAGCUAUCUGCCGUAAGGUGCAUUUGGGUUUUCUUUCUAGCCUUAUUGUUUUAUAAUUUGAUGCCUCUUCCUGCCUGAUAAAUUCAAGUUUUCGGGAACUUAAGCACUUAAUACUUUAGAUUUCUCAGAAAGGCAGUUUAUUAGGAAACCUCGUGUUUACUCAAGUAUGCGAGAAGUCCACUUGGCCAGCAGGUUACAUGCGAUUCCUUGAAAUUCUGUUCCAUGGACUCCAGGGAGCUAAAUGUAACAUUUAGUCAUCAAUAGGAUAAUUUAGGCUCAUUCUUUCUACUUGCCUUCUUAAGAAGGGAUUGGAGUUCAUGCCGGUAUUCUCUAGAAAAUGGAAGUGACUUCCCGCCCUGUAAAGAUGGCUUUCCAUACACCGUGGACUCUCACACAAGCCUCUUUAUCGUCACACACAUGAAAGCAACAUGAAAAUGCUGAGGUUGGGACCAACGGCGGGAAGCCUUACAAUCAAGAAUGAGAGAAAACUACACACUUAACUACCAAUGAAAUGCCAAGCAGAAACGAAGAUGUCCUCACCAGACGAUGGUCUUGAAGACCAGAAGCUCAGCUCCACAGCCCAGAACUUAGACACAACUCCUAAGGAAAUUUGGAAAACCUCAAAUUAACUAGAAUUCCUAUUCUGCUGUGCCAGUAGCAUGGAAACUCAAGAAAGAAAUUAAAUUUAAAAAAAAUCACAUUUCUUGCACCCUGAAAUCAAUACCUACAAUAUUGCCCAACUGGGGAAGCAGGACAUUUCCAUAAAAAGAGAGGCACUGUCAUUGGCUAGUAGAUACGGGGAGUAAAUAAGCUAUAUAGCAGACACUUUCUACAGAAAUUCAAGGCCUCUGCAGCCCACAGAGGUGGAGAGAACAUCAUGGGUGGCGGCGGCCUUCUUGCAGUAUUAACCGACCAGAGUGGUUACGGUGAUGCAUAGUGCCCAACAAACCAGGUGCUAUAAUAAGGAAACCUCAAAUGAAUUUUUUUUAAUGUUUACUCAUUUUUGAGAGACAGAGAGAGACAGAGCACAAGCGAGGGUGGGGCAGAGAGAGAGAGAGAGAGAGAGACACAGAAUCCAAAGCAGGCUCCAGGCUCUAAGCUGUCAGCACGGAGCCCGACGAGGGGCUCAAAUUCACGAACAGUGAGAUCAUGAUCUGAGCUGAAGUCAGACGCCUAACUGACUCAGCCACCCAGGCGCCCCAGGAAACUAAUGAUAAUAGGAGUUUACUCCCUGCAUAUAUAAUAGAUUAACAGGGGUAAUCCUGGUUGGUAGGUGGUUUCUUCCACAUGGUCAUUCAAGGCCCCAGGAUGUUAGGUCUCCCCAGCACAAGGAGGGAUCUUGUCACAACACAGAGAAUUACUAAUGGAAGAAAUCAUCCUAGUUCCCAUCUGCCUAGUGCCUCUUGAGUGCCGGGCACUGCGCAUUCAACCCUCACAAUAGUCCUUUGUGAAGAAGCGAGGGCUUGGAAAGGCUUGCACCCAAUUCUGGCUAACCCCAAGCCAGACUCUUAAUCAUUCCACUCUCCAUCAGCUUUUUGAUUUAUGCUGACGUUGCAUUCCUGAGAAGUGACAGCUAAUUCAAAACCAUGUGAAGCAAAAAUGAAUUUUCUUACCAGAAAUGAAGGAAAAGCGAAGCAGGAGAAAUGCUCCAGUAGAUUGCAAAAGAUUCUAGUCAUGCAAAUGUUUUCACCAUAUUGCAUUAAUGUGAGCAGUAAAGAAACAGUUUAUGGGGGAAAUUGAAUAUAUUAAAAUUUAUUCAUGGAAUAACAACGAGAAAAAAAAUAGCCACUCGCUAAUGGAGGACUGGCCAAUACAGCCUGCAAAGGCUGGUAUACAAGUCUGGAGUUUCUACACUGUAAGAAUUCUAAUGUAUAAAGACUUUCUUCAUGUCAGUGGUAUUCUCAACUGAACACCCAUUAUUCUUGGUGGCCCUGCUUAACUAUUUUCUUAGCUUUUUCAUCAGAGCAAAGCAUAUGGCUGAAGCCUGUGGAAAUAGUAACUACUACUAAUUAUUAAUAAUAGUCAAGAGUGCUACGUGCAGACACUAUUCCAAACACAUGCCUUUCUUCACUGGGUCUUCAGGUUCAUCCAAUAGGAUAGCUUCUUUAGUAUCCCCAUUUUGCAGAUGAGUGAACUGAGGCACCGAGAGAUUGAGUAACUUCCUAUGAUGGUUACUUUUAUGUGUCCAUUUGGUUGGGCCAACUGGCGGAAGUGGCUGGGCCACAGAACCCACAUGGUUGGUUAAACAUUAUUCUGGAUGUUUCUAUGAGGGUGUUUCUGGAUGAGAUUUACAUUUAAAUCUGUGGACUUUGAGUAAAGCAGAUUGCCCUCCAUGAUGCCGGGGAGGCUUUCUCCAAUCAACUGAAAGCUUGAAUAGAACAAAAGGCUGACCUUUCCAAGAGCAAGAAGAAAUUCCGCCAGCAGACUGCCUUUGGACUUCAUCUGCAGCAUCAGCUCUCCCUAAUUCACUAACAGACUGCCUUUGAACUUGAACCGCCAUUCUUUCCUGUGUCUGCAGCCUGCCAGCCUCCCCUAUCAGAUUUUGGACUUGCUAACCCA
Neofelis nebulosa (Clouded leopard) is the source of this 6090-nucleotide long non-coding RNA. RefSeq lists it as uncharacterized. The record is from RefSeq and is a predicted model, not a curated record. The transcript is spliced from 2 exons. NCBI's taxonomy places the organism in Eukaryota, Metazoa, Chordata, Mammalia, Carnivora, Felidae.